This is a small nuclear RNA of Sorex fumeus (smoky shrew), 106 nucleotides long. NCBI's taxonomy places the organism in Eukaryota, Metazoa, Chordata, Mammalia, Eulipotyphla, Soricidae. The record is from RefSeq and is a predicted model, not a curated record.
GUGCUCAAUUCGGCAGCACAUAUACUGAAACUGGAACGACACAGAGAAAAUUAGCAUGGCCCUGCGCAAGGAUGACAUGCAAAUUCGUGAGGUGUUCCAUAUUUUU